GCUAUUCAGCUGUCGGGCUAAUCAGCAGUCGAGGUGUGCGGCUAGGCGCGAGCUCUGCGGGAGCUCAGCCCCCGGGAGAGACCCGGCAGCGGCGCGGCGAGGACGGCGGCGCGGCGAGGACGGCGGCGCGGCGAGGACGGCGGCGCGGCGAGGACGGCGGCGCGGCGAGGACGGCGGCGCGGCGAGGACGGCGGCGCGGCGAGGACGGCGGCGCGGCGAGGACGGCGGCGCGGCGAGGACGGCGGCGCGGCGAGGACGGCGGCGCGGCGAGGACGGCGGCGCGGCGAGGACGGCGGCGCGGCGAGGACGGCGGCGCGGCGAGGACGGCGGCGCGGCGAGGACGGCGGCGCGGCGAGGACGGCGGCGCGGCGAGGACGGCGGCGGACCGGGGCAGCCCCGCGCCCUGGCCAGGAAUAAUCGGUGGAGAUGGAUUGUGAAAUGGAGGUGCAUAAAUAUCCAGUUUGCCAACCGAGCUAAGAAAUGCUGGAUAAAAGUAAAAGCUCUACUGAGAUGAAGAAAGAAAAAGAAUACCUGCUCAGCUCCAGAGACACGUAAAGGGACAGAGAUUGGGGGACAGAAGGAAGUGCAUUAAUUCCUUCCACGACCCCUGAAGAGCAGCGGUGGGUCUGAGCAUCCUAUCUCCAGGAAGCAGGCCAGCAGGCAAGCCAGCUGCCACCUCGUCCUGUGCAAAGCACAGGCACCGUCCCCAAAAGAUUUCCAAAGAUGAUGUUAAACCCAGCCACGGUUCUGAUCUCCAGGAAAGCAAUUGCUGUGGUACAAAAGGACAAGGGUUAAAAGAGAACAGUGGGAGCUCUCUUUCCCAACUAACUCACGCAGUGUGACGCAGAGGCUUUCAGCACAGCCCAGGGUGCCCGGGACUGAAAACUCCUUCACCAGCCCCCUCCACAGGAUAUAGAAGACUUAGAUCACUACGAGAUGAAAGCAGAGCCCAUUAGUGGGAAAAAGUUGGAGGAUGAAGGAAUUGAAAAAGAAAAUUUGGCAAUAUUAGAGAAAUUAGGAAGACUGAAAGACAAGAGCAUUUAACUGCAAACUGUUGUCGUUGUCAACUGGGUUGUCUUCCUGAAGUAUGAAUCCGGUAUGUAUUGUGUGGAGGAGCAUUACGUAUUGAACUUCUCACAAAACAGGGCUGAAGCAGUGCCUACUCGACAGAACCGGUCAUCGUACAAAGAAAUGCCACGUGACUCAAAGGCAAAGCCAGAGUGCAGCUUGGAGCAAAGAAGAUGAUGUCUCACUCUGUCACCCAAGAUGGAGUGCAAUGGCACGAUCUCAGCUCACUGCAACCUCUGCCUCCCAGGUUCAAGCAAUUAUCCUGCCUCAGCCACCCGAGUAGCUGAGAUUACAGGCCUCUGCCACCAUGCUCAGCUAUUUUUUGUAUUUUUAGUAGAGACGGGGUUUCACCAUGUUGGGCAGGCUAGUCUUGGAACUACUGACCUCAGGUGAUCCGCCCACUUUGGCCUCCCGAAAGUGCUGGGAUUACAGUCAUGAGCCACCAUGCCCAGCCUAUUUAUUUCUGAUUCUUUAAGGGUGACUGGACGUGUUGAUCAGCGCUCGCUGGGAUUUGGCUGACGUGGCCCCAGCCCCGCCUCCCUCCCCACCCCACAAUGGCAGAAGAAACUGGACAGAGUAAAUUAGCUGCAGCCAAGAAAAAGUUCAAAGAAUAUUGGCAGAGAAACCGCCCUGGUGUUCCAGCAGCAGCGAAGAGGAACACGAAAGCAAAUGGCAGUAGCCCUGAGACGGCCGCUUCUGGUGGUUGCCACUCAUCUGAAGCUGUGAGUCUUGCCUGGACAGGCUUUUGGGGACAGGGGGCCCAAGGAGCAGUAGAGGGCAAUCGUUAAGAUUGUGGAUGGACUGUUGGGUACUGGUGAAGGAUUCUGGAUUUGGCCGGGCACAGUGGCUCACGCCUGUAAUCCCCACACUUCGGGAGACCGAGGCAGGUGGAUCACAAGGUCAGGAGAUCGAGACCAUCCAGGCAAACACGGUGAAAUACUAAAAAAUACAAAAAAAAAAGCCGGGCGUGGUGGCGGGCGCCUGCAGUCCCAGCUGCUCCGGAGUCUGAGGGAGGAGAAUGGCGUGAACCUAGGAGGCGGAGCUUGCAGUGAGCCAAGAUCACGCCACUGCACUCCAGCCUGGAAGGCAGAGAGAGACUCCGUUUCAAAAAAGAAAAGAAUUCUGGGUUUGAAUCCUGCCUCUCCGUCUGCUAGGGAUAUGAUUUAGGGCAAGUUGCUUGAGCUCUUUGGGCCUCUGUUUUCACGUCUGUAUGAUAGAGGUGGUAUUGUUUGACUUGUAUUUGUGAAGUUUCAAUGAGAUUGAUAAUUGUCGAUUUUAUGUUAAUCCCUAGUACAUGGCCUGCUGUCAACACCCAGGACACCCAGGAUAUGGUCUUUGCUGUUUGAUUUUCCUCAUCCCCAGUCUCAAGGGGAAGCCAGGACAAUGAGAACAGCCACUUCCCAUCAGGAGUCACUGCAAGGCCCCCAGGGUGGGAUGGUGGGGAGAUAAGAACCGUGAGAGAAGUUGGCACAAAGGAGUUAUGGGACAAAGGGUCCAAGAUAGGCAGAAAAGAAAAUGUUGCCAGUUGAUGGGGAAGAAAGGAAGUCGGAGGGCUCAGACACUGAGGGGGACAGAACAUCUCCAUGUGCAGUCUCAUCUCUUAUAGUCAGCAACAGGUAUCCACGGGGAGGGCCCUACAUCAUCUGCUACCCUGAAGGAUCUGGAGGUAGGAGGCUCUGGGCGGAGGUGCAGUGACCCCGCAGGCCAGCCCUCCAACCUCCUCCCGCAGCGGGGACUGGGUGCCCCUCUGCCAGCUGAGACAGCCCACACACAACCCAGCCCUAAUGAUCGUUCUCUCUACCUCUCCCCCAAGUCCUCCUCCGCCUCCUCCUCUCUGCAUGCGCGUCAGAGCCCGUGCCAAGAACAAGCAGCAGUCCUGAACUCGAGGUCCAUAAAAAUCAGUCGACUGAAUGACACCAUCAAAUCUUUGAAACAACAGAAGAAACAAGUGGAACAUCAGCUGGAAGAAGAAAAGAAAGCAAACAAUGAGAAACAGAAAGCUGAAAGGGAGCUAGAGGGUCAAAUCCAGAGAUUGAACACAGAGAAAAAGAAACUAAAUACGGACCUGUAUCACAUGAAACAUUCUCUCAGAUACUUUGAAGAAGAGUCCAAGGAUCUGGCCGGCCGCCUGCAACGUUCAUCGCAGCGUAUAGGAGAGUUAGAGUGGUCUCUCUGUGCUGUCGCCGCCACACAGAAGAAGAAGCCGGAUGGGUUCUCGAGCCGCAGUAAAGCACUUCUCAAGCGGCAGUUAGAGCAGUCCAUACGGGAGCAGAUACUGCUGAAAGGACACGUGACACAGUUGAAGGAGUCGCUUAAAGAAGUCCAGCUGGAGAGAGAUCAAUAUGCUGAACAAAUAAAAGGAGAGAGGGCCCAGUGGCAGCAGAGGAUGAGGAAAAUGUCGCAGGAGGUUUGCACAUUGAAGGAGGAGAAGAAGCAUGAUACGCAUCGGGUAGAGGAGCUGGAGAGGAGCUUGUCCAGACUCAAAAACCAGAUGGCUGAGCCACUGCCCCCGGAUGCCCCAGCAGUGUCCUCUGAGGUGGAGCUGCAAGACCUGAGGAAGGAGCUGGAGAGAGUGGCAGGAGAGCUCCAGGCUCAGGUGGAAAACAAUCAGUGCAUCAGUCUCCUGAACCGUGGGCAAAAGGAGAGGCUUCGCGAGCAGGAGGAGAGGCUUCAGGAGCAGCAGGAGAGGCUUCGGGAACGGGAGAAGAGGCUUCAGCAGCUGGCCGAGCCACAGAGCGACUUGGAGGAGCUGAAGCACGAGAACAAGAGCGCACUGCAGUUGGAGCAGCAAGUAAAGGAGCUGCAGGAGAAGCUGGGCCAGGUGAUGGAGACGCUCACCUCGGCCGAGAAGGAGCCAGAGGCAGCAGUCCCAGCCUCAGGGACUGGGGGCGAGUCUAGCGGCCUUAUGGACCUCCUGGAGGAGAAGGCGGACCUGAGGGAGCAUGUGGAGAAACUGGAACUUGGAUUCAUCCAGUACCGGAGAGAGAGAUGCCAUCAGAACGUACAUCGCCUUCUAACAGAGCCAGGGGACAGUGCCAAAGAUGCGUCACCGGGAGGAGGCCAUCAUCAGGCUGGCCCAGGACAAGGAGGAGAGGAAGGUGAAGCUGCUGGAGCUGCAGGAGAUGGUGUUGCGGCUUGUGGCAGCUACAACGAGGGGCACGGCAAAUUCCUGGCCGCUGCCCAGAACCCUGCUGCUGAACCCAGUCCAGGAGCCCCAGCCCCCCAGGAGCUCGGGGCUGCCGACAAGCAUGGUGAUCUUUGUGAGGCGAGCCUCACCAACAGCGUGGAGCCUGCACAAGGAGAAGCCAGGGAGGGUUCUUCCCAGGACAACCCUACUGCACAGCCAAUCGUGCAGCUCCUUGGUGAGAUGCAGGACCACCAGGAGCACCCAGGCUUGGGCAGCAACUGCUGUGUGCCAUGCUUUUGCUGGGCUUGGCUGCCGAGAAGAAGGAGAUAAACACCACCAUCAUCAAAGAGCUGCUCAAGAAAUUUUUAAAAACGAAACAAAGUUAUGGGGUUAAUCUCCUACACAAUUCAUUUACUUCAUUUGAAUGUUAGAGCUACUCAUGAUUAUUUGUGUUUCUAAUUUAUAGUUUAAGUUUAUUUGUAAAAAGUUAAAAGAGAGUGGGUCUCUGUGGCUCUCACUGAUGUUCACUCUGGCAUCCUUCAGCAUUUUUCUUUUUUCAUUUCAUAAUUGUAGGUCAUUAGCAUGCAUAUCGAGUUUGCCCUUACGUGGUGGGAGUUCAAACACACAAAGACCCACUCUUUGCACAAAACUGUUCUCGCUGGUUUGGAAUAGGCUCCCGUGCUUUUCUAAUGUUAUUGCAGCAUGGAUGUCCAUUACAGAAUUCAGAUAAAAUUUGCUAAUGUUCUGCUAUGAUGUUUGAUCUCAUCUUAAUCACAGUGAGCUCUUCUAUAGCUCAAUAUGCGGUUUGCCCUCAAGUGUGCACUGUUUAUUACUUUGUAAUAUGCCACUGUGAGUACUGACAUUUAGAGCUGUUUAAAGGCCGAGAACUGGAAACAGCCUUUCCUCCAUUUUCUGUGUAUUGGUGAUGGGAGUGAUAACCUUUUGGGGGAGCUUUCUAAAUCUCACAGAAGAGGAAAGUGGCCUGCUCUGGCAGGUAUGUGCAGGAUACAGUGUGUUUCAUCUGUUCCGGUGCCAAGAAUGAGCAGUGUACUGUGGCAGUUCCCUUUGGAUUUGUAUGUGCUCUGGGCUCAUGAAGAUAUUGCAUCGUGAGCUGCAGCAGUUGCACUCUUUUUCAAUGACCUAAAAAGGGCUUAUUUCCGAGGAAUGAAAGGCUGCCAUCAUUGGCUGUGGGUGUGAAAAACCUUUCCUAGCUUAGAGCAUUUGUAUCUACAAUACAUUUUAAAGUCAGAGUUCGUGUUCCCUGUUUUAAUCACAUGACUACCUGUCCCAGUACACGAAAGGGCGCUGGUUGGCAUUCUUCUUAAUGUAUUUAGUGAAGAUCAUAAGAAAUCCUUUAAGAGUUUAAAUGUCUCUGAAACAGGCAUACAGGCUCUAGUCAAGAAUGAAUUAGAGUGAAGGAAAGCUGUGUGACACCUGGCAUUCCUCUCUGUUCAUGGAGCUUCUUUGAGGCUUGAAGUUUGAUUUUACUAUCUAGACCUCUCUGGCUAAUACCUAUUCUUCAACCACCUCGGUUACUCUGACAUAGGAAUUUACUUCUUUUCCUUGAGUGGAAAACACUUUAGAAAGUAAUAACAAACAUUAUUAUAAACUAAUAUAUGUGAGAGUACUUAGUUGAAACAAAAAGGAAUUUUAGUAGACAGUAUUAUAUUAUCUUUGAAAAUCAAGGAGAAGUUUAUGCAACUUAAAAUGUUUACACACUGUGGUGCAAUCUACUGUUUGUGAAUGUCUGUAUUAUCAGGAAACAUGUCUAUACGAUCGCAGAGUUGUAUUUCCUCACAAACUUCUUUACGAAGAGUGAAAUACGUUUUUGUACCUCUCAUUUUCAGUCAGGGACAUACUUUGUGCAAUAUUUCUGUGAUUGUGCCUAUGCAUGAUGAAUGAAUGCAUUUCAAUCAUACAUUGCCUAAAUCAUAACUUGAUGAUGCUUGGGAAAGAAUCAACAGUUAAAACUUCAUGAAGUUCUAAUGUCUGUGUUCCAAAACACAUCACAUUAUUAGGUUGUAGGGAGAUAUGUAGGUGUGCUCCCUGGGGUGGGGAGUUUUCUAGUUACUAGACCAUCUCCAUUUUUAGCACUUGGCAGCCUCAUGAUCCUUUUAUAAAUGUGAGAUUAACAGGAGAGCAGCAAUACGAUUUUGCCAAUGGAAUAACAGAUUUGCCGGCAUUCACUGAAAGAGGGCAGAUAUUGGGUCCUUGUAACUUCAACUGACUCUUCCAAAUUGUAUGAAUUUAUCAAUGUAUUACACAAAUCCAGUUUCAGAAUGAUAAAAAAUGUUAGACCAAAUAAUGCGGCUAAUUAACAGUCGUAUGAUUUCUAGCCCAUGGGUUUAAAACUGUAUCUUAAAGAGUCAUUUUAAAAUAAUAUAAAUAUUAAAAAAUGUAACUGCUAUCUUAAUGUUCUGAAAUAAAACAUUUUAAAAUAUAAAUCCUGUAGUUUAAAAGGAAGAAAUGGUGGGAAGGAAAAGUAGAGAAAGAAAUGCCAAUUACAGGCCAAAGCGUUAUUUGCCAAGUUUUCUUAGAAUGAAUUUUACCAAUGUAUGAGUUCUUGUUAACAGAAUGUGUAACGGAAAUACUGAAAGACUUUUGCUUAAAGUGGCAUUAUUGACUGCUGAUGUGAUGCUACUGUAAUGCAAUAAAUUUUUAAACUGUUGCAAA
Molecule: RNA transcript, 6868 nt
Organism: Homo sapiens (human)
Lineage: Eukaryota; Metazoa; Chordata; Mammalia; Primates; Hominidae
Gene: GOLGA8A
Gene name: golgin A8 family member A
Source: RefSeq, marked reviewed